RNAcentral lists this ribosomal RNA (972 nucleotides) under uncultured marine bacterium. RNAcentral describes it as "bacterial SSU rRNA". It matches the Rfam family "Bacterial small subunit ribosomal RNA", at positions 57 to 1074 of the family's 1533-position model. The record is from RNAcentral.
GCAAGUCGAACGAACCUUCGGGUUAGUGGCGGACGGGUGAGUAACGCGUGAGAAUCUGCCCUCAGGAGGGGGAUAACAGCUGGAAACGGCUGCUAAUACCCCAUAUGCCGCGAGGUGAAAUGAAUUUCGCCUGAGGAUGAGCUCGCGUCUGAUUAGCUAGUUGGUGUAGGUAAAGGCUCACCAAGGCAUCGAUCAGUAGCUGGUCUGAGAGGAUGAUCAGCCACACUGGGACUGAGACACGGCCCAGACUCCUACGGGAGGCAGCAGUGGGGAAUUUUCCGCAAUGGGCGAAAGCCUGACGGAGCAACGCCGCGUGAGGGAUGAAGGCCUCUGGGCUGUAAACCUCUUUUAUCAAGGAAGAAGAUCUGACGGUACUUGAUGAAUAAGCCACGGCUAAUUCCGUGCCAGCAGCCGCGGUAAUACGGGAGUGGCAAGCGUUAUCCGGAAUUAUUGGGCGUAAAGCGUCCGCAGGCGGCCCAGAAAGUCUGCUGUUAAAACGUGGAGCUUAACUCCAUCAUGGCAGUGGAAACUGUUGGGCUUGAGUGUGGUAGGGGCAGAGGGAAUUCCCGGUGUAGCGGUGAAAUGCGUAGAUAUCGGGAAGAACACCAGUGGCGAAGGCGCUCUGCUGGGCCAUCACUGACGCUCAUGGACGAAAGCCAGGGGAGCGAAAGGGAUUAGAUACCCCUGUAGUCCUGGCCGUAAACGAUGAACACUAGGUGUCGGGGGAAUCGACCCCCUCGGUGUCGUAGCCAACGCGUUAAGUGUUCCGCCUGGGGAGUACGCACGCAAGUGUGAAACUCAAAGGAAUUGACGGGGGCCCGCACAAGCGGUGGAGUAUGUGGUUUAAUUCGAUGCAACGCGAAGAACCUUACCAGGCCUUGACAUCCUCGGAACUUUCUAGAGAUAGAUUGGUGCCUUCGGGAACCGAGUGACAGGUGCUGCAUGGCUGUCGUCAGCUCGUGUCGUGAGAUG